RNAcentral lists this ribosomal RNA (903 nucleotides) under Ditylenchus africanus. RNAcentral describes it as "partial 18S ribosomal RNA". It matches the Rfam family "Eukaryotic small subunit ribosomal RNA", at positions 125 to 1001 of the family's 1831-position model. Lineage: Eukaryota; Metazoa; Nematoda; Chromadorea; Rhabditida; Anguinidae. The record is from RNAcentral.
CCCCCMYMUMMMSMCMMAAAWWYMWMWCACACUAUAAUUACUUGAUCUUGACAAAUCCUACUUGGAUAACUGUGGUAAUUCUAGAGCUAAUACAUGCACCAAAGCUCUGACCUUGCGGGAAGAGUGCAUUUAUUAGAACAAAACCAGGCGGCCUUCGGGUCGUUUUUUGUUGACUCAGAAUAACUAAGCUGAUCGCAUGGUCUCGUACCGGCGACGUGUCUUUCAAGUGUCUGCCUUAUCAACUUUCGAUGGUAGUGUAUGUGACUACCAUGGUUGUGACGGGUAACGGAGGAUAAGGGUUUGACUCCGGAGAAGGGGCCUGAGAAAUGGCCACUACGUCUAAGGAUGGCAGCAGGCGCGCAAAUUACCCACUCUCAGUAUGAGGAGGUAGUGACGAGAAAUAACGAGACCGUUCUCUUAGAGGCCGGUCAUCGGAAUGGGUACAAUCUAAACCCUUUAACGAGUAUCUAUGAGAGGGCAAGUCUGGUGCCAGCAGCCGCGGUAAUUCCAGCUCUCAAAAUGCAUAGAAUUAUUGCUGCGGUUAAAAAGCUCGUAGUUGGAUCUGUGCCGCAGGACUCGGUCCGCCUUCGGGCGCGCACUGAGCUCCUCGGCUUUUCUGCUGGUUUUCCCGUUAUGGUCUUAACCGGCCGUAGCGGGUGGCUGGCGAUUUUACUUUGAACAAAUCAGAGUGCUCAACACAGGCGUUUCGCUUGAAUGUUCUUGCAUGGAAUAAUAGAAGAGGAUUUCGGUCCUAUUUUAUUGGUUUUAUAGGCUGAAAUAAUGGUUAAUAGAGACAAACGGGGGCAUUCGUAUCGCUGCGUGAGAGGUGAAAUUCUWGGRCCGCAGCGAGACGAACUACAGCGAAAGCAUUUGCCAAGAAUGUCUCAUAAUCAAGUCGAUGMG